GAUGAACGCUGGCGGCGUGCCUAAUACAUGCAAGUAGGACGCAGUUGCGAACGGGUGAGUAACGCGUAGGUAACUGUCUAAUUGAGGGGGAUAAAUAUUGGAAACGAUAGCUAAUACCGCAUACUAGUAGAUGGACCUGCGUUGUUUUAGCUAGUAGGUAGGGUAAUGGCCUACCUAGGCGACUAUACAUAGCCGACCAGAGAGGGUGAUCAGCCACACUGGGACUGAGACACGGCCCAGACUCCUACGGGAGGCAGCAGUAGGGAAUCUUCGGCAAUGGACGAAAGUCUGACCGAGCCACGCCGCGUGAGUGAAGAAGGUUUUCGGAUCGUAAAACUCUGUUGUUAGGGAAGCGUUAUCGAACCAGAAAGCCACGGCUAACUACGUGCCAGCAGCCGCGGUAAUAC
Molecule: ribosomal RNA, 407 nt
Filed under: uncultured bacterium
Lineage: Bacteria
Description: partial 16S ribosomal RNA
Rfam family: Bacterial small subunit ribosomal RNA
Source: RNAcentral